GGGGCGGUAGUUCAGUGGGAGAACGCUACGCUGGCAGCGUAGAAGUCGAGGGUUCGACUCCCUUCCGCUCCA
This 72-nucleotide transfer RNA is filed under the name Candidatus Reconcilbacillus cellulovorans. RNAcentral's name for it is "Paenibacillaceae bacterium JTherm tRNA-Ala". It matches the Rfam family "tRNA". Rfam says of the family: Transfer RNA (tRNA) molecules are approximately 80 nucleotides in length. Their secondary structure includes four short double-helical elements and three loops (D, anti-codon, and T loops). Lineage: Bacteria; Bacillati; Bacillota; Bacilli; Caryophanales; Paenibacillaceae. The record is from RNAcentral.